CCUACGUGGGGCAGCAGUGGGGAAUAUUGGACAAUGGGCGAAAGCCUGAUCCAGCCAUGCCGCGUGUGUGAAGAAGGCCUUCGGGUUGUAAAGCACUUUCAGUGGGGAAGAAAGCCUUGGGGCUAAUACCCUCGAGGAAGGACAUCACCCACAGAAGAAGCACCGGCUAACUCCGUGCCAGCAGCCGCGGUAAUACGGAGGGUGCGAGCGUUAAUCGGAAUUACUGGGCGUAAAGCGCGCGUAGGCGGUCUGAUAAGCCGGUUGUGAAAGCCCCGGGCUCAACCUGGGAACGGCAUCCGGAACUGUCAGGCUAGAGUGCAGGAGAGGAAGGUAGAAUUCCCGGUGUAGCGGUGAAAUGCGUAGAGAUCGGGAGGAAUACCAGUGGCGAAGGCGGUCUUCUGGACUGACACUGACGCUGAGGUGCGAAAGCGUGGGUAGCAAACAGGAUUAGAUACCCUUGUAGUC
Molecule: ribosomal RNA, 465 nt
Filed under: Vreelandella stevensii
Lineage: Bacteria; Pseudomonadati; Pseudomonadota; Gammaproteobacteria; Oceanospirillales; Halomonadaceae
Description: partial 16S ribosomal RNA
Rfam family: Bacterial small subunit ribosomal RNA
Source: RNAcentral